Molecule: ribosomal RNA, 372 nt
Filed under: uncultured bacterium
Lineage: Bacteria
Description: partial 16S ribosomal RNA
Rfam family: Bacterial small subunit ribosomal RNA
Source: RNAcentral
CCUACGGGUGGCAGCAGUAGGGAAUAUUGCUCAAUGGGGGAAACCCUGAAGCAGCAACGCCGCGUGGAGGAUGAAGGUUUUCGGAUUGUAAACUCCUUUUGUUAGAGAAGAUAAUGACGGUAUCUAACGAAUAAGCACAGGCUAACUCCGGGACAGCAGCCGCGGUAAUACGUGGGGUGCAAGCGUUACUCGGAAUCACUGGGCGUAAAGAGCGUGUAGGCGGGAGAGCAAGUCAGAUGUGAAAUCCUAUGGCUUAACCAUAGAACUGCAUUUGAAACUGUUAUUAUAGAGUAUGGGAGAGGUAGGUGGAAUGCUUGGUGUAGGGGUAAAAUCCGUAGAGAUCACGAAGAAUUCGCAUUGCGAAGGCGACAU